GUAGGUGAGCCUGCGGAAGGAUCAUUAACACGUAUCCACGUAUCAAAACCCCUCUGUGCAAACCUCUUCGUAAGGCUUGAUUGGAGUUGUAUUCACUCGAUCUUAAUGAUGGGAGUCUCCUCUCUCGAGGGGGGACCCGGGAUCUAUGAGUGUUUACCGCGUUUGACAAUCGGGCCGCUAUUUUUCCAUCGUUAGCCCUUUCUAACUUUUAACCCCUUAUACUUUUUUGUACUGAACCAAUUCUUCGAGU
This 250-nucleotide unclassified non-coding RNA is filed under the name plant metagenome. RNAcentral's name for it is "partial contains small subunit ribosomal RNA, internal transcribed spacer 1, and 5.8S ribosomal RNA". The record is from RNAcentral.